UAGAUGGGAGCUCGUUGGUCGGAGCACUUAGCUGUUAACUAAGAAGUUGAAGGAUCGAAACCUUUUCAUCUAG
This 73-nucleotide transfer RNA is filed under the name Pantodon buchholzi (freshwater butterflyfish). RNAcentral describes it as "tRNA-Asn". It matches the Rfam family "tRNA". Rfam says of the family: Transfer RNA (tRNA) molecules are approximately 80 nucleotides in length. Their secondary structure includes four short double-helical elements and three loops (D, anti-codon, and T loops). Lineage: Eukaryota; Metazoa; Chordata; Actinopteri; Osteoglossiformes; Pantodontidae. The record is from RNAcentral.